GGGGACUGAGACACGGCCCUUACUCCUACGGGAGGCAGCAGUGGGGAAUAUUGGACAAUGGACCAAAAGUCUGAUCCAGCAAUUCUGUGUGCACGAUGAAGUUUUUCGGAAUGUAAAGUGCUUUCAGUUGGGAAGAAGUCAGUGACGGUACCAACAGAAGAAGCGACGGCUAAAUACGUGCCAGCAGCCGCGGUAAUACGUAUGUCGCAAGCGUUAUCCGGAUUUAUUGGGCGUAAAGCGCGUCUAGGCGGCUUAGUAAGUCUGAUGUGAAAAUGCGGGGCUCAACCCCGUAUUGCGUUGGAAACUGCUAAACUAGAGUACUGGAGAGGUAGGCGGAACUACAAGUGUAGAGGUGAAAUUCGUAGAUAUUUGUAGGAAUGCCGAUGGGGAAGCCAGCCUACUGGACAGAUACUGACGCUAAAGCGCGAAAGCGUGGGUAGCAAACAGGAUUAGAUACCCUGGUAGUCCACGCCGUAAACGAUGAUUACUAGGUGUUGGGGGUCGAACCUCAGCGCCCAAGCUAACGCGAUAAGUAAUCCGCCUGGGGA
Molecule: ribosomal RNA, 548 nt
Filed under: Fusobacterium sp. SRBBR3
Lineage: Bacteria; Fusobacteriati; Fusobacteriota; Fusobacteriia; Fusobacteriales; Fusobacteriaceae
Description: bacterial SSU rRNA
Rfam family: Bacterial small subunit ribosomal RNA
Source: RNAcentral